AGCAACCCGUUUGGUUAUCUUUCUGUGCUGUGGAAGGUUUGUUCUUUCACUCUGCACUAUUUUGCAAUAAAUAUUGCUAUUGCUCACUUUGGGUUUAUAUUGCCUUUAUGAGCUGUAACACUCACCAUGAAGGUCUGCAGCUUUACUCUUGAAGCUUAGCGAGACCACUAACCCACCAGAAGGAAGAAACUCCGGACACGCCGCCUUUAAGAACUGUAAUACUCAGUGCGAGGGUUCACGGCUUCAUUCUUGAGAAAGACAACGAGGAGGGAGCAGCUAGAGGGGUGGAAAUGGGAUCACGUGACCUUGCGAGAAGCAGGGAGAGAGAACACUGCGUCUGCUCCCUUUUAGAACAGACCACGUUCUAGAAUUGUAGAAUCCUG
Molecule: long non-coding RNA, 383 nt
Filed under: Homo sapiens (human)
Lineage: Eukaryota; Metazoa; Chordata; Mammalia; Primates; Hominidae
Description: HSALNT0391644
Source: RNAcentral